CCUAUCAGCUUCGACGGUAUGGUAUUGGCUUACCGUGGCAGUGACGGUUAACGGGGGAUUAGGGUUCGAUUCCGGAGAGGGAGCCUGAGAAACGGCUACCACAUCUAAGGAAGGCAGCAGGCGCGCAAAUUACCCAAUUCUAACAGCAUAAGAGAGGUAGUGACAAGAAAUAACAGUACAAGGCAGUUAAAAUGCUUUGUAAUUGGAAUGAUAGAAAUUUAAAUACUUUUUAAAGUAUCAAUUGGAGGGCAAGUCUGGUGCCAGCAGCCGCGGUAAUUCCAGCUCCAAUAGCGUAUAUUAAAAUUGUUGCAGUUAAAAAGCUCGUAGUUGAAUNUNUGCUAAAAAUAACCGGUGUGCUUUUAUUAAUAAAAGUGGUAUCUUGGUGUGUUUUUAGCAAUAAUGUCCUUUGAAAUGUUUUUUACUUUAUUGUAAAAAACAAAUUUCAGGAUUUUUACUUUGAGAAAAUUAGAGUGUUUCAAGCAGGCUAACGUUUUGAAUACUGCAGCAUGGAAUAAUAAAAUAGGAUUUUAGUUCUACGUUAUUGGUUUUAAGAACUAAAUUAAUGAUUGAUAGGGGCAGUUGGGGGGCAUUU
This 592-nucleotide ribosomal RNA is filed under the name Hepatozoon sp. ex Stegonotus cucullatus. RNAcentral describes it as "partial small subunit ribosomal RNA". It matches the Rfam family "Eukaryotic small subunit ribosomal RNA", at positions 311 to 894 of the family's 1831-position model. The record is from RNAcentral. Lineage: Eukaryota; Apicomplexa; Hepatozoidae.